RNAcentral lists this long non-coding RNA (759 nucleotides) under Elaeis guineensis (African oil palm). Its description in RNAcentral is "long non-coding RNA (EGUI_LNC013503)". Lineage: Eukaryota; Viridiplantae; Streptophyta; Magnoliopsida; Arecales; Arecaceae. The record is from RNAcentral.
CCCUAAGUUUUGAUAACAGAAAUUCAAUUCUCGCUCCAAGUUGGAGCUGCUUUCUCUCCAUUGGACCAUUAGAGGUAUCUCUUUUUCUCAAGAAUUUCCAUAUUCUCCUUAUUCUAGUGCUCCUUUUUAUUGUAUUGGAGAGAAUUAUACUUCUCCUUAAAUCGAUAGUUGUUUAUAUACAAACACAUUCUUUGGCAGCCUAAUUUGAAGCUCUGGAAUGCUUCCCAUGUAGCGUAAAUACAGACACAUGCACGUAUGCUUAAAGAAUUAGAGCUUUGAAAGAGGAAAAGAAUGGUAAGACUGUUCUUUCCCUUCCACAUUAUCUCACAACCAUGAUAUGGGAUUGCAUUUAGAACUUGACCAUAAAAUAGAUCUUCAGGUAAGAUGAUGGUAUACGCAUACUGUUCUUGAUCAAAGGGCACCAUGAUCAUGAAAUUAACUGUUGACUUAAAGUCUUCUAUGGGAAGUUUACCAGAGAAAACAUGUUUUGAAGGUCAUCAUAAAUGGUUCUCCCCCUCCCCAAUAGAGCAUCAUGGAUUAUUGUUUGUCUGAUUUGCUUGAGCUCAUUUGUUCUCAUCACAAGUUGUCAGGAUAAUUUUAAUUUCAAUUAUGUGUCCAGAAGUUGCUUAGAUUUGUAUUUUUUUUUGUUUUUUUCAAUGAUGGUAUUGCUUCUCUGUCCUACCUACCCUAAAUCAUUAGGUUUACCUACCAAGUCUUUGGUGCCUGAACGUUGUGACCAACCAAAAGCUUGCACGGCAU